Molecule: long non-coding RNA, 3414 nt
Organism: Candoia aspera
Lineage: Eukaryota; Metazoa; Chordata; Lepidosauria; Squamata; Candoiidae
Exons: 4
Source: RefSeq, a predicted model, not a curated record
UUCCCCCGCCUCGCCACUCUGUUGCACUCGCGGGCGGCCAGCGCCGUUCCCACGUUGCUGCGGCCGCGGAGGGCAGCGCCGCCCGCCCAGGUGCAAAACACUGGGUGACUUCGGUGUGGAUUUGUUUUUAACCCCUGGAUUUGAUUCUGAUGAGGAUUCAGUGGAAGAUGCUCCAGAUUCUGGGGAAGAUGAGGGUAGAAAGCCGCCUUCAAAGCUUGACAGCAGAAAAACCCAGGGUGUAAUUUGAGACCAGCGAAAAGGAAAACUAUCAGUCCGUUUGCAACCGGCGGUGCGUCCUACGGAUCUCCCAGCUAGAGUACGUCCGCUGUUGUCACCUUCAUCCGCUGCCCAUAUUUCCGGUGCCGGGUUCCAAGUAUGAUGCAUCCGAACGAAGUCAGGCGACCUCUGACUUACCCCUUGGCCCAAGUCGUCACUGGCUGCGCUGAGGAGCGAAAGGGCCGUGCCUGGAGGCUGGGGCCGAAAACCGCCAACUUGGGCGCAGCUGGAACAGCUGGCACGAGGAGGAGAGGACGUGGGUGGAGACUUGGACUUCUCCAAUGGGGACUGAUGGACGGGCCUGGAGUGGCCUUUAUGCGCUUGGGGAGACGCGCCAUAAAAUUUGCAGUCAGGCGGGGGAGCAGUAAAAAGACUCAGCUGUGGCUAUAAAAGCUGUGGCUUUUUUGAAGGACUUCUCUGUUUCCUUGCAAGCACCCUCAGAUGAAAAAUACUUUGUAUUUUUUUGGAGCCCACAGCAAGAAAAGUUGGACUGCAUCUCCAGGGCAACACAAUGCUUGCUUUGAAUUUCCCCCCCAAUUCUUGCAAUUGCCCAUUUUCAUUUCUGUAUGCGCGGAAGACUUGUUUGAAGGGGAUGGGGAAACUUGUGCGGGUUCGUCCUGUCUCGCUGGCAGAAAUGGCUUGUAAAAACAGCCUGCCGUGUGGAUUUAUUUCUUGUGCGUGGAUCUCAGUGUGCUGAAACUGCAGCGGGCAAAACGGCUGGAUCCCGAGGGAGCACCGUUGUCCCCUGCGGCUUUCACCGUGUUGUGAUCCGUGCCCACGUCUCUUGGCACCACACCGGGCCCACCAGGAACCGAGACCCACCAGCUUGUUGUUUGAGGUCGCCCAGCAGAUCAGAUCUAGCUGUUGAGGAGCUUGCAAACCUUACAGUUUUGGUCUUGAUUUAGUCCUAAGCGAGUCAGGAUGUGUUUCUGCAGUUUGCGAGUCAGGUGGAGGAGGGCAUUGCAGAUCCCCAGAGAGUCUUAAGCUUGGCUAGGACAGCCACGUUUUGUGGCUUGUGGGAACGGGGUUGAAACUCAGAGAACCCUUGGUGGAAGCCUUUGGGUCCCAUGAAUCCCAAAUGGCGGCUUCUCUAGCUUUAAGCUGUGGGCAGUGGCAGGUAGGUGCAACAGCCAUUGUGGGCCCCUGUGCCUUGGGUGAAGGACACUUAUGUUCUCUGGCAGCCUUGGGUGGCACAAGUAGAAACUUCAGGUUCAGGUGCCAGGACAGUUUUGAGUCAGAAGAACCUAGAGCAGUGUUCCUCAACUGCGGCAACCUGAAGAUCUGUGGACAGUCUAAGUGGCUGGGCGAUUCUGGGAGUUGAACUGCCUGCAUGUCUUCAAGUUGCCAAGGUUGAACACUGACCUGGAAGGUCACAAACGCCCACCGAUCCCAGGUAGGUGCCAAAUGCGGGUGGAUGUGAACUCUGCUUUCAUUAAGCUGAGUGGCUUUUAGAUGGGUGGACCAGCACUCAGAAUUUCCCAGCUUAAUCUCUCGAAAAUUCUGGGAAUUGAAGUUCUCCCAUGUAGAAGGCAUCAGAUGGCUGCCACUCAAUUCCCGGCAUUCUGCAGCACAUCUCAGAAUUCUGGGAACUCCAGUCUGCCCAUUGGAAGAGGCAUCCUCCAGAGGGUUGGAUUUCUGUUCCCAGAAUUCUUAGCAAGAGUGAGCUGGAGAACUAUGGGAGUUAAGUCCCCCCUGCCCCUGGUAGAGAGUGCCAGAUGGUUGCCCCUCAAUUCCCAGAAUUCUGCAGCAUAUUUAAGAAUUUUGGGAGCUGCAGUCCACCCAUCAGAAGAGACUCCUUCCAGAGGGAUGGGUUUUGGCUCCAAGAAUUCUUAGCAAUGGUGGGUUAGAGAAUCAUGGGAAUCGAGGCCACUGCCCCCCAUCUGGAGACCACCAGAUGGCUACCACUCAGUUUCCAGCAUUCUCCAGCACAUUAAAAGUUAUGGGAGCAGAAGUCAAACUUGGAGGCGUUGAAAUUCUGUGCCUUCUAACAGUGGACUUCUGUUCCUAGAAUUCUUGAUGAUGGGCUGGAGAAUUCUGGAAAUUGAAGUUCACCCACCUGGGAGACAGGGAAGCCCCAUGCCCACUAGGUGGUGGGCCUCCACUCCCAGAAUUCCCUCUUAGGAACUCUGGGAAUGAGGUCCACCACCCCAGGGGCAUAGAGCCCUGAGUCCCUGUAUCUGGAUGGGAGAACCCCAGUUCCCAGGAUUCUCUAGUCCACUGUUAAGAAUUCUGGGGACUGAAGUCCCCCAACUAGAUAGCAGGUGAACAAACAGAUGCAACCCACAAUCCCCCAGCUCAUCGCUCUCCUCUGGGAGCUGAAGGUCAGCAUGGAAAUGCCACAUGAACCUCAGCCCCCAGAAUUCUGGGAAAUGGAAGCCAUCCAUCUGGGAGGCAUCAGGGCCUUGUGUGCUCUGGAGAUGUGGGCCUUCACUCCCAAAACACUCCUGCACAUGAAGAGUUCUGGGAAUGGAGGUCCAUCCAACUCAGAUGCACAGAACCUGCAUGCCCCUGGCCAGAGUGGAUUGUAAGUCCCCAGAAUCCUCAGUGAUGGGGACCCUCCCCCAUUUUUCCCCCCAGUGUAGAGAGCAGUCAGAGGGAAAAUCCUCGUGUCUUGAGGUUCCUGCCUUGCUCAUAACUAGGGAUGCACAAGGCAGGCAGUGCUUGAAAUAGGCCCCUCCUGUGUGUGCUGAGCCUGGCAGGGGCUCUGCACUUCAUUUCAAGCCCUGGCUGUGUUGUGCGCCACUACUUGCAGCAAGGGAUGCACAGAGAAGAUGCUGUGCAUGAUGGGCUGGUGGGGUACAGGGCCAAGGCGCCAGCAGCAGCCCUGGUCUUGCCAGAGGGCCCCCCUGCUCCAUGGUUGAAGCCAAGGGCCUUGGCAGGGGCUGGGAGAGGCCUAUGGAAGAUGGGGGGGGUCAGGUGGGCUGCUGGGAGAUGCCCCUUGGUCUCCAGCUGGUCCUUCUGCCCACUCCCCAUCCUCCCUAGGCCACUGCAUGUCUUCUGGGGGAACCCCUUCCCCCAUGCCAGGGGCCCAGGGAGGAGGGGGUGAGGGCUGCUGGGUUGUGCCAGUUGCCAUCUCCCAGCAGCCCACCUACCCCCACCCCAUCCUCCCUGGGACUGCCCCUGCCAAGGUUCUUGCUA